This 61-nucleotide small RNA is filed under the name Sinorhizobium meliloti 2011. RNAcentral's name for it is "putative ncRNA". Lineage: Bacteria; Pseudomonadati; Pseudomonadota; Alphaproteobacteria; Hyphomicrobiales; Rhizobiaceae. The record is from RNAcentral.
ACCCACUUCCUGCGUCUCGGAAACAUGCGUUCCGCCGCAGGGCUGGCUGUCGAUCGAUGAA